RNAcentral lists this ribosomal RNA (459 nucleotides) under uncultured bacterium. RNAcentral describes it as "partial 16S ribosomal RNA". It matches the Rfam family "Bacterial small subunit ribosomal RNA", at positions 338 to 795 of the family's 1533-position model. The record is from RNAcentral.
CCUACGGGAGGCUGCAGUGAGGAAUAUUGGUCAAUGGGCGGAAGCCUGAACCAGCCAAGUAGCGUGCAGGAUGACGGCCCUACGGGUUGUAAACUGCUUUUAUACGGGAAUAACGCGCCUUACGUUUAGGGCUUUGCCUGUACCGUAUGAAUAAGGACCGGCUAAUUCCGUGCCAGCAGCCGCGGUAAUACGGAAGGUCCGGGCGUUCUCCGGAUUUAUUGGGUUUAAAGGGUGCUCCGGCGGAGGUGCAAGUCAGCGGUAAAAUUGCGGGGCUCAACCCCGUACUGCCGUUGAAACUGCAGCCCUUGAGUGCGCGAGAAGUAUGCGGAAUGCGUGGUGUAGCGGUGAAAGGCAUAGAGAUCACGCAGAACUCCGAGUGCGAAGGCAGCAUACCGGCGCGCAAAUGACGCUCAUGCACGAAAGCGUGGGUAUCGAACAGGAUUAGAUACCCUUGUAGUC